UAGUAACGGCGAGUGAAGCGGGAAGAGCUCAAGCUUAAAAUCUCUGUGCAAGUUUUGCAUGGCGAAUUGUAGUCUAUGGAUGCGCUAUCAGUGCAGCCGCGCGGGCCAAGUUCCUUGGAAGAGGACAGCAUGGAGGGUGAUACUCCCGUUCCUGCCUGUGCGUGUUGUGCGUACGAUGCGUUUUCUUUGAGUCGCGUUGUUUGGGAAUGCAGCGCAAAGUAGGUGGUAAAUUCCAUCUAAAGCUAAAUAUUGGUGCGAGACCGAUAGCGAACAAGUACCGUGAGGGAAAGAUGAAAAGAACUUUGAAAAGAGAGUUAAAGAGUACCUGAAACUGCUGAAAGGGAACCGGGUCGUUGCCAGUGUCUAUAAUCUGCGGCAUAUUUCAUUGUCGGAUGCGGCCGUGCGGCGCGUUUGGUAGUGGGUUCGUCCUGCACCGCGUGUUGCUGUGGUUGCGUUUGGUGGUGCCCUGUGCUGUGGUGGGACGUCAGAGUCAGUUCGUGUGCUGCGGGAAAUGGCUGCUGGGGAGGUAGGUCGGGGGUUCGCCCUCGGCUGUUAUAUCCUGGCGGACUAGUCGUCGUGGUUGGGACUGAGGUGCCUACAACGUGCUUUUGAGUGCGGAGGUUUCUUCGUUUGCGCGUCGGUUGGAUAGCUUGCUAUGCAGUUGGCGUUGUGUGCGGAUGGAUGUCUUUGCUAACUUGUUGCCGUUCGGGACUUUGACGAAAUGGCGCGAUCCGACCCGUCUUGAAACACGGACCAAGGAGUCUAACAUGUGUGCAAGUGUUAGGGUGUGGAAACCCGAGCGCGAAAUGAAAGUAAAGGGCAGUGUAUGCUGCCUGAGGUAGGAAACCUUUGCUCGUCAGGGGUGGCACUAUCGACCGAUCAUGAACCUUCGUGGUGAAAGAUUUGAGUAUGAGCACAUAUGUUGGUACCCGAAAGAUGGUGAACUAUGCCUGAGUAGGGUGAAGCCAGGGGAAACUCUGGUGGAAGCUCGUAGCGAUUCUGACGUGCAAAUCGAUCGUCAAACUUGGGUAUAGGGGCGAAAGACUAAUCGAACCAU
RNAcentral lists this ribosomal RNA (1057 nucleotides) under Phytopythium sp. AQ-2017a. RNAcentral describes it as "eukaryotic LSU rRNA". It matches the Rfam family "Eukaryotic large subunit ribosomal RNA", at positions 81 to 943 of the family's 3401-position model. The record is from RNAcentral. Lineage: Eukaryota; Oomycota; Peronosporomycetes; Pythiales; Pythiaceae.